UACGAAGGGAGCUAGCGUUGUUCGGAAUCACUGGGCGUAAAGCGCACGUAGGCGGAUUUGUCAGUCAGGGGUGAAAUCCCCGGGCUUAACCUGGGAAUUGCGCUUGAAACUAGGUCGCUAGAGUGUGGCAGAGGGGGGUGGAAUUCCACGUGUAGCAGUGAAAUGCGUAGAGAUGUGGAGGAACACCGAUGGCGAAGGCAGCCCCCUGGGUCAAGAUUGACGCUCAUGCACGAAAGCGUGGGGAGCAAACAGG
This 253-nucleotide ribosomal RNA is filed under the name uncultured bacterium. RNAcentral's name for it is "partial 16S ribosomal RNA". It matches the Rfam family "Bacterial small subunit ribosomal RNA", at positions 524 to 776 of the family's 1533-position model. The record is from RNAcentral.